UUAGGUUCUGUUUAGAUACCUCAACCUAGGGCCAUUGUGGAUUGCAUGACAACUAUUAGGCUCGAGUUAGUCUUCCUUUUAGUUUGUUAUUCCCCGGUCUCUGGUUAGGAGAAAGUUUUUCCCCUGUUAAGGGGAACUACGUCGCCCUGAUCCUCAUACCAGAUGAGGUACGUAGGCAGGAGAUCGUGCGAGAUCUCUCCGGGCAACCUUUUCUUUUUUUGGUGUGUGUUUGGAGUCGAAUGUAAGCCCAGCUAUUGGCA
Molecule: long non-coding RNA, 260 nt
Filed under: Lathyrus oleraceus (garden pea)
Lineage: Eukaryota; Viridiplantae; Streptophyta; Magnoliopsida; Fabales; Fabaceae
Description: Pisum sativum (pea) long non-coding RNA (PSAT_LNC016201)
Source: RNAcentral